GUGACGAAGCGACGCCGCGUGUGGGAAGAAGGCUCUAGGGUUGUAAACCACUGUCAGGAGUUAAGAAAUGUAAAGGUGUUAAUAGCGCCUUUAUUUGACGAAGGCUCCAGAGGAAGCCACGGCUAACUCUGUGCCAGCAGCCGCGGUAAUACAGAGGUGGCAAGCGUUGUUCGGAAUUAUUGGGCGUAAAGAGCACGUAGGCGGUUCUGCAAGUCAGUUGUGAAAUCCUUCCGCUUAACGGGAGAACGGCAGCUGAUACUACAGGACUAGAGUACGGGAGGGGAGAGUGGAACUUCUGGUGGAGCGGUGAAAUGCGUAGAUAUCAGAAGGAACGCCGGCGGCGAAAGCGACUCUCUGGCCCGAAACUGACGCUGAGUGUGCGAAAGCUAGGGGAGCAAACGGGAUUAGAUACCCCGGUAGUCCUGGCCGUAAACGAU
RNAcentral lists this ribosomal RNA (437 nucleotides) under uncultured Planctomycetota bacterium. Its description in RNAcentral is "bacterial SSU rRNA". It matches the Rfam family "Bacterial small subunit ribosomal RNA", at positions 383 to 810 of the family's 1533-position model. The record is from RNAcentral. Lineage: Bacteria; Pseudomonadati; Planctomycetota.